This 257-nucleotide ribosomal RNA is filed under the name uncultured eukaryote. RNAcentral's name for it is "partial Bacterial large subunit ribosomal RNA". It matches the Rfam family "Bacterial large subunit ribosomal RNA", at positions 52 to 382 of the family's 2925-position model. The record is from RNAcentral.
AAAGGCGUAGAGUUUUACGAAAAGCUCUAUUGAGGUAUGAUAAAUGGUCUGCAAUGUAGAGGUUUCUUAAUGGAAAACCAUUCUUUUUUGAAUUUAUAUAUGACCUUGCGAAUUGAAACAUCUUAUUAGCUUGUGGAAUAAAAAUCAACCGAGAUUUUGUAAGUAAUGGCGAGUGAAAGCAAAAAAAAGUAACUUUUUUAUUGAAAAUUAAAAAAUUUGGAAAAAUUUAUCAAAGAAGGUGAUAGUCCUGUAAAAUU